GAGUAAUGUCUGGGAAACUGCCUGAUGGAGGGGGAUAACUACUGGAAACGGUGGCUAAUACCGCAUAACGUCGCAAGACCAAAGAGGGGGACCUUCGGGCCUCUUGCCAUCAGAUGUGCCCAGAUGGGAUUAGCUUGUUGGUGAGGUAACGGCUCACCAAGGCGACGAUCCCUAGCUGGUCUGAGAGGAUGACCAGCCACACUGGAACUGAGACACGGUCCAGACUCCUACGGGAGGCAGCAGUGGGGAAUAUUGCACAAUGGGCGCAAGCCUGAUGCAGCCAUGCCGCGUGUAUGAAGAAGGCCUUCGGGUUGUAAAGUACUUUCAGCGGGGAGGAAGGUGUUGUGGUUAAUAACCACAGCAAUUGACGUUACCCGCAGAAGAAGCACCGGCUAACUCCGUGCCAGCAGCCGCGGUAAUACGGAGGGUGCAAGCGUUAAUCGGAAUUACUGGGCGUAAAGCGCACGCAGGCGGUCUGUCAAGUCGGAUGUGAAAUCCCCGGGCUCAACCUGGGAACUGCAUUCGAAACUGGCAGGCUUGAGUCUUGUAGAGGGGGGUAGAAUUCCAGGUGUAGCGGUGAAAUGCGUAGAGAUCUGGAGGAAUACCGGUGGCGAAGGCGGCCCCCUGGACAAAGACUGACGCUCAGGUGCGAAAGCGUGGGGAGCAAACAGGAUUAGAUACCCUGGUAGUCCACGCCGUAAACGAUGUCUACUUGGAGGUUGUGCCCUUGAGGCGUGGCUUCCGGAGCUAACGCGUUAAGUAGACCGCCUGGGGAGUACGGCCGCAAGGUUAAAACUCAAAUGAAUUGACGGGGGCCCGCACAAGCGGUGGAGCAUGUGGUUUAAUUCGAUGCAACGCGAAGAACCUUACCUGGUCUUGACAUCCACAGAACUUUCCAGAGAUGGAUUGGUGCCUUCGGGAACUGUGAGACAGGUGCUGCAUGGCUGUCGUCAGCUCGUGUUGUGAAAUGUUGGGUUAAGUCCCGCAACGAGCGCAACCCUUAUCCUUUGUUGCCAGCGGUCCGGCCGGGAACUCAAAGGAGACUGCCAGUGAUAAACUGGAG
Molecule: ribosomal RNA, 1063 nt
Filed under: Salmonella enterica subsp. enterica serovar Heidelberg
Lineage: Bacteria; Pseudomonadati; Pseudomonadota; Gammaproteobacteria; Enterobacterales; Enterobacteriaceae
Description: bacterial SSU rRNA
Rfam family: Bacterial small subunit ribosomal RNA
Source: RNAcentral